Molecule: transfer RNA, 66 nt
Filed under: Cominella virgata brookesi
Lineage: Eukaryota; Metazoa; Mollusca; Gastropoda; Neogastropoda; Buccinidae
Description: tRNA-His
Rfam family: tRNA
About the family: Transfer RNA (tRNA) molecules are approximately 80 nucleotides in length. Their secondary structure includes four short double-helical elements and three loops (D, anti-codon, and T loops).
Source: RNAcentral
AUCAAGUUAGUUUAAUACUAAAACGUCAGCUUGUGAAUCUGAAAAUAAAAUUUGUUUUACUUGAUC